This 321-nucleotide non-coding RNA is filed under the name Ruminococcus sp. Its description in RNAcentral is "T-box sequence". It matches the Rfam family "T-box leader". Rfam says of the family: Uncharged tRNA acts as the effector for transcription antitermination of genes in the T-box leader family. Lineage: Bacteria; Bacillati; Bacillota; Clostridia; Eubacteriales; Oscillospiraceae. The record is from RNAcentral.
UAAAAGGCUUGGAAGGGAAAAAGUAGCUUGAGGAAAACCCCACAGAGAGCAGCCGGCAGGUGAGAGGCGCAGGGUAGAACUUUUGUGAAUACAUCCCGGAGCUGCGCACCGAAUCGGAACUUGAUACUGUAAAUUAUAAACUUUAUAAUAAUAGCGUAUUAUAGAUAGGCUGCGACGGAAUGGCACCCGUUAUUGUGCUGAAGUGGUUUUAUAUCUUGAUAUAUAUGGAUAUAACGGGAUGUAGAUUCACUUUAUGAGGCAGGAAAUGCGAGUUUUCUGUAAAUUUAGGUGGUAACGCGGGACCCGGUUCUCGUCCUAAAC